GUGCUUGCUCAGGCAGCACAUAUGACAAAAUUGGAACGAUACAGAGAAGAUUAGCGCCCGAUGGAUGCCACGGCAAAUUCGGUGAAGCGUUACCACAUUUU
Small nuclear RNA from Perca fluviatilis (European perch), 101 nucleotides. NCBI's taxonomy places the organism in Eukaryota, Metazoa, Chordata, Actinopteri, Perciformes, Percidae. The record is from RefSeq and is a predicted model, not a curated record.